Molecule: ribosomal RNA, 376 nt
Filed under: uncultured bacterium
Lineage: Bacteria
Description: bacterial SSU rRNA
Rfam family: Bacterial small subunit ribosomal RNA
Source: RNAcentral
UACGUAGGAAGCAAGCGUUAUCCGGAUUUACUGGGCGUAAAGCGGGUGUAGGCGGCCUGUCAAGUCCGGUGUGAAAUCUCCCGGCUUAACUGGGAGGGUGCAUUGGAUACUGAUGGGCUGGAGUGCAGCAGAGGAAAGUGGAAUUCCCGGUGUAGUGGUGAAAUGCGUAGAUAUCGGGAAGAACACUAGUGGCGAAGGCGGCUUUCUGGGCUGUAACUGACGCUGAGACCCGAAGGCGUGGGUAGCAAACAGGAUUAGAUACCCUGGUAGUCCACGCAGUAAACGAUGGAUACUAGGUAUAGGGAGUAUCGACCCUCUCUGUGCCGAAGCUAACGCUUUAAGUAUCCCGCCUGGGGACUACGGUCGCAAGACUAAA